RNAcentral lists this ribosomal RNA (706 nucleotides) under Microbacterium testaceum. RNAcentral describes it as "bacterial SSU rRNA". It matches the Rfam family "Bacterial small subunit ribosomal RNA", at positions 772 to 1474 of the family's 1533-position model. The record is from RNAcentral. Lineage: Bacteria; Bacillati; Actinomycetota; Actinomycetes; Micrococcales; Microbacteriaceae.
ACAGGCUUAGAUACCCUGGUAGUCCACCCCGUAAACGUUGGGAACUAGUUGUGGGGACCAUUCCACGGUUUCCGUGACGCAGCUAACGCAUUAAGUUCCCCGCCUGGGGAGUACGGCCGCAAGGCUAAAACUCAAAGGAAUUGACGGGGACCCGCACAAGCGGCGGAGCAUGCGGAUUAAUUCGAUGCAACGCGAAGAACCUUACCAAGGCUUGACAUAUACGAGAACGGGCCAGAAAUGGUCAACUCUUUGGACACUCGUAAACAGGUGGUGCAUGGUUGUCGUCAGCUCGUGUCGUGAGAUGUUGGGUUAAGUCCCGCAACGAGCGCAACCCUCGUUCUAUGUUGCCAGCACGUAAUGGUGGGAACUCAUGGGAUACUGCCGGGGUCAACUCGGAGGAAGGUGGGGAUGACGUCAAAUCAUCAUGCCCCUUAUGUCUUGGGCUUCACGCAUGCUACAAUGGCCGGUACAAAGGGCUGCAAUACCGUAAGGUGGAGCGAAUCCCAAAAAGCCGGUCCCAGUUCGGAUUGAGGUCUGCAACUCGACCUCAUGAAGUCGGAGUCGCUAGUAAUCGCAGAUCAGCAACGCUGCGGUGAAUACGUUCCCGGGUCUUGUACACACCGCCCGUCAAGUCAUGAAAGUCGGUAACACCUGAAGCCGGUGGCCCAACCCUUGUGGAGGGAGCCGUCGAAGGUGGGAUCGGUAA